AUACAUGCAAGUCGAACGAACUCUGGUAUUGAUUGGUGCUUGCAUCAUGAUUUACAUUUGAGUGAGUGGCGAACUGGUGAGUAACACGUGGGAAACCUGCCCAGAAGCGGGGGAUAACACCUGGAAACAGAUGCUAAUACCGCAUAACAACUUGGACCGCAUGGUCCGAGCUUGAAAGAUGGCUUCGGCUAUCACUUUUGGAUGGUCCCGCGGCGUAUUAGCUAGAUGGUGGGGUAAUGGCUCACCAUGGCAAUGAUACGUAGCCGACCUGAGAGGGUAAUCGGCCACAUUGGGACUGAGACACGGCCCAAACUCCUACGGGAGGCAGCAGUAGGGAAUCUUCCACAAUGGACGAAAGUCUGAUGGAGCAACGCCGCGUGAGUGAAGAAGGGUUUCGGCUCGUAAAACUCUGUUGUUAAAGAAGAACAUAUCUGAGAGUAACUGUUCAGGUAUUGUCGGUAUUUAACCAGAAAGCCACGGCUCAGUACGUGCCAGCAGCCGCGGUAAUACGUAGGUGGCAAGCGUUGUCCGGAUUUAUUGGGCGUAAAGCGAGCGCAGGCGGUUUUCUAAGUCUGAUGUGAAAGCCUUCGGCUCAACCGAAGAAGUGCAUCGGAAACUGGGAAACUUGAGUGCAGAAGAGGACAGUGGAACUCCAUGCGUAGCGGUGAAAUGCGUAGAUAUAUGGAAGAACACCAGUGGCGAAGGCGGCUGUCUGGUCUGUAACUGACGCUGAGGCUCGAAAGUAUGGGUAGCAAACAGGAUUAGAUACCCUGGUAGUCCAUCCCGUAAACGAUGAAUGCUAAGUGUGGAGGGAUUCCGCCCUUCAGUGCUGCAGCUCACGC
Molecule: ribosomal RNA, 842 nt
Filed under: Lactiplantibacillus plantarum
Lineage: Bacteria; Bacillati; Bacillota; Bacilli; Lactobacillales; Lactobacillaceae
Description: bacterial SSU rRNA
Rfam family: Bacterial small subunit ribosomal RNA
Source: RNAcentral